AUUGAACGCUGGCGGCAUGCUUUACACAUGCAAGUCGAACGGUAACAGGCCGCAAGGUGCUGACGAGUGGCGAACGGGUGAGUAAUGCAUCGGAACGUGCCCAGUCGUAGGGGAUAACGCAGCGAAAGCUGUGCUAAUACCGCAUACGAUCUAUGGAUGAAAGCGGGGGACCGUAAGGCCUCGCGCGAUUGGAGCGGCCGAUGUCAGAUUAGCUAGUUGGUGGGGUAAAGGCCCACCAAGGCGACGAUCUGUAGCUGGUCUGAGAGGACGACCAGCCACACUGGGACUGAGACACGGCCCAGACUCCUACGGGAGGCAGCAGUGGGGAAUUUUGGACAAUGGGCGCAAGCCUGAUCCAGCAAUGCCGCGUGCAGGAAGAAGGCCUUCGGGUUGUAAACUGCUUUUGUACGGAACGAAACGGUCUUGGUUAAUACCCUGGGCUAAUGACGGUACCGUAAGAAUAAGCACCGGCUAACUACGUGCCAGCCGCCGCCGUAA
RNAcentral lists this ribosomal RNA (498 nucleotides) under uncultured bacterium. RNAcentral's name for it is "partial 16S ribosomal RNA". It matches the Rfam family "Bacterial small subunit ribosomal RNA", at positions 30 to 523 of the family's 1533-position model. The record is from RNAcentral.